This 110-nucleotide microRNA precursor is filed under the name Pelobates cultripes (western spadefoot toad). Lineage: Eukaryota; Metazoa; Chordata; Amphibia; Anura; Pelobatidae. The record is from RNAcentral.
UCCAUAUCAUUCCAAAGGGUUCACAUACUUUUUCUUGCAACUGUAAUUAGACACACUGUGUCUAAUAACAGUUGCAAGAAAAAGUAUGUGAACCCUUUGGAAUGAUAUGG